Molecule: ribosomal RNA, 392 nt
Filed under: uncultured Microsporidia
Lineage: Eukaryota; Fungi; Microsporidia
Description: SSU rRNA
Rfam family: Microsporidia small subunit ribosomal RNA
Source: RNAcentral
CACCAGGUUGAUUCUGCCUGACGUAGAUGCUAGUCUCUAAGAUUAAGCCAUGCAUGUUUAUGUAAUAAGGACGAACAGCUCAGUAGAACUACGAUGAUUUAGUCUGUUUGAAAAAGAUAACUACGUGAAAAUGUAGCUAAGAGAGAACAGAAUAAGACGUAGGACUAUCAGUUAGUUGGUAGUGUAAUGGACUACCAAGACGAUAACGGGUAACGGGGAAUCAGGGUUUGAUACCGGAGAGGGAGCCUGAGAGAUAGCUCCCACGUCCAUGGACGGCAGCAGGCGCGAAAAUUUCCCACUCUUUGUAGUUGGCAGUUAUGAGACGUGAAGUAGAAUAUUUCGUAAAGACGAAUAGGAGAAUUGGAGGGCAAGUUUGGUGCCAGCAGCCGCGG